UUAUAAACCAACGUGAACUGUUCAUUCGGUGUUUAAAAAAACAUCCCGUGAAUUAAACCCAGAAAAUGGCGCCAGUUUAACUGCAGUGACGGCUGUGAGGGGAAACAUUUACAAACAUGCAAUGGAAAAGUAUCUUUCAGCUGCCACUAUUUGACAACGUGAAAACGAACGACUUCUUCACAACGAAGAAUUGACCUGCGGACUUUCUUACCUCCUCCCACCGGAGACACCGGCGGUCACCACACCCCUCUGACUUUCAG
This is a long non-coding RNA of Nerophis ophidion (straightnose pipefish), 260 nucleotides long. RefSeq lists it as uncharacterized. Lineage: Eukaryota; Metazoa; Chordata; Actinopteri; Syngnathiformes; Syngnathidae. The transcript has 3 exons. The record is from RefSeq and is a predicted model, not a curated record.